Molecule: ribosomal RNA, 590 nt
Filed under: Pseudomonas sp.
Lineage: Bacteria; Pseudomonadati; Pseudomonadota; Gammaproteobacteria; Pseudomonadales; Pseudomonadaceae
Description: bacterial SSU rRNA
Rfam family: Bacterial small subunit ribosomal RNA
Source: RNAcentral
UGAGUAAUGCCUAGGAAUCUGCCUAGUAGUGGGGGAUAACGUCCGGAAACGGGCGCUAAUACCGCAUACGUCCUACGGGAGAAAGUGGGGGAUCUUCGGACCUCACGCUAUUAGAUGAGCCUAGGUCGGAUUAGCUAGUUGGUGAGGUAAUGGCUCACCAAGGCGACGAUCCGUAACUGGUCUGAGAGGAUGAUCAGUCACACUGGAACUGAGACACGGUCCAGACUCCUACGGGAGGCAGCAGUGGGGAAUAUUGGACAAUGGGCGAAAGCCUGAUCCAGCCAUGCCGCGUGUGUGAAGAAGGUCUUCGGAUUGUAAAGCACUUUAAGUUGGGAGGAAGGGCAGUUACCUAAUACGUGAUUGUUUUGACGUUACCGACAGAAUAAGCACCGGCUAACUCUGUGCCAGCAGCCGCGGUAAUACAGAGGGUGCAAGCGUUAAUCGGAAUUACUGGGCGUAAAGCGCGCGUAGGUGGUUUGUUAAGUUGGAUGUGAAAGCCCCGGGCUCAACCUGGGAACUGCAUCCAAAACUGGCAAGCUAGAGUAUGGUAGAGGGUGGUGGAAUUUCCUGUGUAGCGGUGAAAUGCGUAG